AAAAGAAGGGUGGAAGUGAUCAGGCAUGGAUCAGGAAUUAUCUCCACUAUAUCGUCAGGACAGUCAUGAUAAAAAUCCUCAUGCCGUCCAACCUGUUAGCAUCCAGCCUGUGGUCAUUGUCCAACCCUCUGAGUGCAUGAUCCAAGAACCACCAGCUGAGCCUGUGCCGGAUUACAUGUGUUACUCCAAAUUUACAAUUUUUUUCUGCUUUGUAUGUCUGGGAAGUGCCGCUCUUUAUUUCUCUAGAGCUACUCGCACUGCUAACAGUACUGGACAGAGGACUAAAGCAGUGAGAAACUCUCAAAUUGCACUCGUCCUGAACCAUUUAGCCCUUGUGGUGGGCCUCAUCUUGACUGCAUCACUCAUCUUCUAUAAAUUGCAGAACAAAUGAUUGAAAAAUGUAUUAAGCAUAUUGAGUUUUGUACUCUCACAUGCAAUGUUUUCAUAAUGCUGACUGAAUAAUGCUGUACUGCGUUUAGCUAACUGAGACUUGUCAUAGCACUUGCAUAUCAUUGCUCUCUUGUUGAUCCAUUGUCUUCAUUUGUAAGUCGCUUUGGAUAAAAGUGUCUGCUAAAUGACUAAAUGUAAAUGAAUUAUUGUGAGAUUUUUUGUUCCGUUUUCAGAUUUUCAUAUUGCAUAAAAUAUAUUGUACUAUUAAUAUAUGCAAAAUCUUAUUUUUCAUAUUUUA
Long non-coding RNA from Cyprinus carpio carpio, 688 nucleotides. The record is from Ensembl. NCBI's taxonomy places the organism in Eukaryota, Metazoa, Chordata, Actinopteri, Cypriniformes, Cyprinidae.